This is a non-coding RNA of Serendipita sp. 401, 84 nucleotides long. The record is from the annotation of a GenBank genome assembly. Lineage: Eukaryota; Fungi; Basidiomycota; Agaricomycetes; Sebacinales; Serendipitaceae.
GUCGCGAUGGUGUAGUUGGUUAUCACAACUGUCUAACAUUCUGUUGGUCACAGUAGGUCCUCGGUUCGAACCCGAGUUGCGACA